UACGGAGGGGGCUAGCGUUGUUCGGAAUUACUGGGCGUAAAGCGCGCGUAGGCGGACCUGCAAGUCGGAUGUGAAAGCCCUCGGCUUAACUGAGGAAGUGCACCCGAAACUGAGUAGCUAGAGUACGAAAGAGGGUCGCGGAAUUCCCGGUGUAGAGGUGAAAUUCGUAGAUAUCGGGAGGAACACCGGUGGCGAAGGCGGCGACCUGGGUCGAGACUGACGCUGAGGCGCGAAAGCGUGGGGAGCAAACAGG
RNAcentral lists this ribosomal RNA (253 nucleotides) under uncultured bacterium. RNAcentral's name for it is "partial 16S ribosomal RNA". It matches the Rfam family "Bacterial small subunit ribosomal RNA", at positions 524 to 776 of the family's 1533-position model. The record is from RNAcentral.